This 492-nucleotide ribosomal RNA is filed under the name uncultured bacterium. RNAcentral's name for it is "partial 16S ribosomal RNA". It matches the Rfam family "Bacterial small subunit ribosomal RNA", at positions 29 to 507 of the family's 1533-position model. The record is from RNAcentral.
AGUGAACGCUGGCGGUAGGCCUAACACAUGCAAGUCGAACGGCAGCACAGUAAGAGCUUGCUCUUACGGGUGGCGAGUGGCGGACGGGUGAGGAAUACAUCGGAUUCUUCUUUUACUUGGGGGAUAACGUAGGGAAACUUACGCUACUACCGCAUACGUCCUACGGGUGAAAUCAGGAGAUCUUCGCACUUUUCCCGUCUGUAUGAGCUGAUGUCGCAUUAGCUAGUUGGCGAGGUAAAGGCCCACCAAGGCGACGAUCCGUAGCUGAUCUGAGAGGAUGAUCAGCCACACUGGAACUGAGACACGGUCCAGACUCCUACGGGAGGCAGCAGUAGGGAAUAUUCGACAAUGGGCGCAAGCCUGAUCCAGCCAUACCGCGUGAGUGAAGAAGGUCUUCGGGUUGUAAAACUCUUUUGUUAGGAAAGAAAAGAAGCAGAUGAAACCCCCGCUGUUCUGACGGUACCCAAAGAGAAAGCACCGGCUAACUUCGUG